GUUUGAUCCUGGCUCAGGACGAACGCUGGCGGCGUGCCUAAUACAUGCAAGUCGAGCGAACAGAUGGGAGCUUGCUCCCUGAUGUUAGCGGCGGACGGGUGAGUAACACGUGGGUAACCUGCCUGUAAGACUGGGAUAACUCCGGGAAACCGGGGCUAAUACCGGAUGGUUGUCUGAACCGCAUGGUUCAGACAUAAAAGGUGGCUUCGGCUACCACUUACAGAUGGACCCGCGGCGCAUUAGCUAGUUGGUGAGGUAACGGCUCACCAAGGCGACGAUGCGUAGCCGACCUGAGAGGGUGAUCGGCCACACUGGGACUGAGACACGGCCCAGACUCCUACGGGAGGCAGCAGUAGGGAAUCUUCCGCAAUGGACGAAAGUCUGACGGAGCAACGCCGCGUGAGUGAUGAAGGUUUUCGGAUCGUAAAGCUCUGUUGUUAGGGAAGAACAAGUGCCGUUCAAAUAGGGCGGCACCUUGACGGUACCUAACCAGAAAGCCACGGCUAACUACGUGCCAGCAGCCGCGGUAAUACGUAGGUGGCAAGCGUUGUCCGGAAUUAUUGGGCGUAAAGGGCUCGCAGGCGGUUUCUUAAGUCUGAUGUGAAAGCCCCCGGCUCAACCGGGGAGGGUCAUUGGAAACUGGGGAACUUGAGUGCAGAAGAGGAGAGUGGAAUUCCACGUGUAGCGGUGAAAUGCGUAGAGAUGUGGAGGAACACCAGU
Molecule: ribosomal RNA, 720 nt
Filed under: Bacillus sp. G3Q
Lineage: Bacteria; Bacillati; Bacillota; Bacilli; Caryophanales; Bacillaceae
Description: bacterial SSU rRNA
Rfam family: Bacterial small subunit ribosomal RNA
Source: RNAcentral